CCUACGGGAGACAGCAGUGAGGAAUAUUGGUCAAUGGGCGUAAGCCUGAACCAGCCAAGUCGCGUGAGGGAUGAAGGUUCUAUGGAUCGUAAACCUCUUUUAUAAGGGAAUAAAGUUCGGGACGUGUCCCGUUUUGUAUGUACCUUAUGAAUAAGGAUCGGCUAACUCCGUGCCAGCAGCCGCGGUAAAACGGAGGAUCCGAGCGUUAUCCGGAUUUAUUGGGUUUAAAGGGUGCGUAGGCGGCCUUUUAAGUCAGCGGUGAAAGUCUGUGGCUCAACCAUAGAAUUGCCGUUGAAACUGGGAGGCUUGAGUGUGUUUGAGGCAGGCGGAAUGCGUGGUGUAGCGGUGAAAUGCUUAGAUAUCACGCAGAACCCCGAUUGCGAAGGCAGCUUACCAAUCUAUAUCUGACGUUGAGGCACGAAAGCGUGGGGAGCAAACAGGAUUAGAUACCCCAGUAGUC
Molecule: ribosomal RNA, 460 nt
Filed under: uncultured bacterium
Lineage: Bacteria
Description: partial 16S ribosomal RNA
Rfam family: Bacterial small subunit ribosomal RNA
Source: RNAcentral